Mycena rebaudengoi is the source of this 92-nucleotide non-coding RNA. The record is from the annotation of a GenBank genome assembly. Lineage: Eukaryota; Fungi; Basidiomycota; Agaricomycetes; Agaricales; Mycenaceae.
GAUCUGGUGGUGUAGUGGUAACACACUUGCUUAAAAUAAGUGCUCAAUAUUUGCCUGUGCAAGAGAUCCCUGUUCAACUCGGGGCUGGGUCA